UCUCUUCUCUGGUAAACUAAUUCUUCUUCGUCUAUGGUGCUGUAGGCUACAGCCUGUAGCGAAUCUUCUAUUUUUCUACAUCACCGACCUAUCCUGCUGAGAAGUAAAUCCCUAUUAUAGAGAGCCGGCUUCUUCUAUUUUCUCCGGCGAUGUUGCUUAAUCGUAUAUGUUUUCUUCACUGGUAAACUAAUUCCUCUGUCUGUGCCCUAAUCUCUUCUUCACUGACUAGGACUCCCACUUACACACGGCUUGGACAAUCGAAGACGCUCCUCUCGAUGGCAAACAUGGUAGCUGUAACUGAGGGAGAAUUCAGGGGAAAUCUAUCAUGUGUCCACAUCGAGUUAUGUGACAACAAGAGGGAGAAUUCAGGGGAGAUCUAUAAACGGCAACUCAAAGUUCCAGUAUUGUCCAUAACGAAACCAACGGGUUGUUGCAACUUGCAAGCUCAGUGUUGUUCGAGCUCUUGGACUAGACUCCCACUCACACAGCUUGGGCAACGAAAGACGCUCUCUCGAUGACAAACAUGGUAGCUAUAACUGAGGGAGAAUGCAGGGGAGGUUUAAAAAUGACAACUCAAGAAGCUCUUUCAUGUUUCCAGUUUCGGGUAAAAUUGAUGUGGAUCCAACAUGCCUUGAUUGCUGCUUCUGGUGCUUAAUAUCAAAAUUUCAGAGAUCA
Molecule: non-coding RNA, 675 nt
Organism: Camelina sativa (false flax)
Lineage: Eukaryota; Viridiplantae; Streptophyta; Magnoliopsida; Brassicales; Brassicaceae
Source: RefSeq, a predicted model, not a curated record